Molecule: long non-coding RNA, 605 nt
Organism: Carassius auratus (goldfish)
Lineage: Eukaryota; Metazoa; Chordata; Actinopteri; Cypriniformes; Cyprinidae
Exons: 5
Source: RefSeq, a predicted model, not a curated record
CCAGGCCUCACUGGAUCAUUAAAAACACAUUUCAAGAAGUGCCUUUAAAUUCUCCAGAUCCACUAAAUCAGUGUGUUUUACUGCAGUGUAUUGUGAGAUCGCAGGUUGAGAGGAUGAACGCUCAACUGUGCUGCUCGUUGAUCACUGUCUUGUUGUGUCUCUCUGUGUGCUUGAGCACAAAAGACGUCAAAAAAUAUGCAAAGCCAGGAGUGUGUCCUGAUGACAAAGACAUGAUAGGAGCAUGUGUCGAGAAGUGUUUUGGUGACCGUGAAUGUCCAGAUGAUGAGAAAUGUUGCAGCAAUGGAUGUGGGCAUCAGUGUAUGCCUCCAUAUACAGCAUUAAAGCCAGGAUCGUGUCCAAAACCCAUUGGAUUUGGACACUGUGCUGAGAUGUGUUCUGGUGACGGUAGCUGUCCAAACAACCAGAAAUGCUGCAGCAAUGGAUGUGGACAUCAGUGUAUGGCUCCAUAUAGAGAAAUGCUGCAGCAAUGGAUGUGGACAUCAGUGUACGGCUCUACCUAAAGAAAAGCCAGGAGUGUGUCCAAUGACUUUGGCUGGAGUAAAAGGACCGUGUGAAGAGUUGUGUGUCAGUGACUUUGACUGUCC